Molecule: small RNA, 145 nt
Filed under: Gopherus agassizii (Agassiz's desert tortoise)
Lineage: Eukaryota; Metazoa; Chordata; Testudines; Testudinidae
Description: TUC338 (ENSGAGG00000025423.1)
Source: RNAcentral
CUGACAGUCCUGAAGACUGAAGUCCUUGUUGUAUCCACAGAACAGGUGCAGAGUGGGAAGUGGCAGGACUAGCUUCCUCACACUAUUUCAGGAUUAACCUGGAAGGACCACAUUCACUUAUCAUGCCAUUGAAUCCAUGGCCUCU